RNAcentral lists this ribosomal RNA (735 nucleotides) under uncultured Fusobacterium sp. RNAcentral's name for it is "bacterial SSU rRNA". It matches the Rfam family "Bacterial small subunit ribosomal RNA", at positions 28 to 776 of the family's 1533-position model. The record is from RNAcentral. Lineage: Bacteria; Fusobacteriati; Fusobacteriota; Fusobacteriia; Fusobacteriales; Fusobacteriaceae.
GAUGAACGCUGACAGAAUGCUUAACACAUGCAAGUCUACUUGAAUUUGGGUUUUUAACUUAGAUUUGGGUGGCGGACGGGUGAGUAACGCGUAAAGAACUUGCCUCACAGCUAGGGACAACAUUUAGAAAUGAAUGCUAAUACCUAAUAUUAUGAUAAUAGGGCAUCCUAUAAUUAUGAAAGCUAUAAGCGCUGUGAGAGAGCUAUGCGUCCCAUUAGCUAGUUGGAGAGGUAACGGCUCACCAAGGCGAUGAUGGGUAGCCGGCCUGAGAGGGUGAUCGGCCACAAGGGGACUGAGACACGGCCCUUACUCCUACGGGAGGCAGCAGUGGGGAAUAUUGGACAAUGGACCGAGAGUCUGAUCCAGCAAUUCUGUGUGCACGAUGAAGUUUUUCGGAAUGUAAAGUGCUUUCAGUUGGGAAGAAAGAAAUGACGGUACCAACAGAAGAAGUGACGGCUAAAUACGUGCCAGCAGCCGCGGUAAUACGUAUGUCACGAGCGUUAUCCGGAUUUAUUGGGCGUAAAGCGCGUCUAGGUGGUUAUAUAAGUCUGAUGUGAAAAUGCAGGGCUCAACUCUGUAUUGCGUUGGAAACUGUAUAACUAGAGUACUGGAGAGGUAAGCGGAACUACAAGUGUAGAGGUGAAAUUCGUAGAUAUUUGUAGGAAUGCCGAUGGGGAAGCCAGCUUACUGGACAGAUACUGACGCUGAAGCGCGAAAGCGUGGGUAGCAAACAGG